Molecule: ribosomal RNA, 1503 nt
Filed under: uncultured bacterium
Lineage: Bacteria
Description: bacterial SSU rRNA
Rfam family: Bacterial small subunit ribosomal RNA
Source: RNAcentral
GAUGAACGCUGGCGGCGUGCCUAAUACAUGCAAGUCGAGCGAACAGACGAGGAGCUUGCUCCUUUGACGUUAGCGGCGGACGGGUGAGUAACACGUGGGUAACCUACCUAUAAGACUGGGAUAACUUCGGGAAACCGGAGCUAAUACCGGAUAAUAUUUCGAACCGCAUGGUUCGAUAGUGAAAGAUGGCUUUGCUAUCACUUAUAGAUGGACCUGCGCCGUAUUAGCUAGUUGGUAAGGUAACGGCUUACCAAGGCAACGAUACGUAGCCGACCUGAGAGGGUGAUCGGCCACACUGGAACUGAGACACGGUCCAGACUCCUACGGGAGGCAGCAGUAGGGAAUCUUCCGCAAUGGGCGAAAGCCUGACGGAGCAACGCCGCGUGAGUGAUGAAGGUCUUCGGAUCGUAAAACUCUGUUAUUAGGGAAGAACAAACGUGUAAGUAACUGUGCACGUCUUGACGGUACCUAAUCAGAAAGCCACGGCUAACUACGUGCCAGCAGCCGCGGUAAUACGUAGGUGGCAAGCGUUAUCCGGAAUUAUUGGGCGUAAAGCGCGCGUAGGCGGUUUUUUAAGUCUGAUGUGAAAGCCCACGGCUCAACCGUGGAGGGUCAUUGGAAACUGGAAAACUUGAGUGCAGAAGAGGAAAGUGGAAUUCCAUGUGUAGCGGUGAAAUGCGCAGAGAUAUGGAGGAACACCAGUGGCGAAGGCGACUUUCUGGUCUGUAACUGACGCUGAUGUGCGAAAGCGUGGGGAUCAAACAGGAUUAGAUACCCUGGUAGUCCGCGCCGUAAACGAUGAGUGCUAAGUGUUAGGGGGUUUCCGCCCCUUAGUGCUGCAGCUAACGCAUUAAGCACUCCGCCUGGGGAGUACGACCGCAAGGUUGAAACUCAGAGGAAUUGACGGGGACCCGCACAAGCGGUGGAGCAUGUGGUUUAAUUCGAAGCAACGCGAAGAACCUUACCAAAUCUUGACAUCCUUUGACCCUUCUAGAGAUAGAAGCUUCCCCUUCGGGGGACAAAGUGACAGGUGGUGCAUGGUUGUCGUCAGCUCGUGUCGUGAGAUGUUGGGUUAAGUCCCGCAACGAGCGCAACCCUUAAGCUUAGUUGCCAUCAUUAAGUUGGGCACUCUAAGUUGACUGCCGGUGACAAACCGGAGGAAGGUGGGGAUGACGUCAAAUCAUCAUGCCCCUUAUGAUUUGGGCUACACACGUGCUACAAUGGACAAUACAAAGGGCAGCGAAACCGCGAGGUCAAGCAAAUCCCAUAAAGUUGUUCUCAGUUCGGAUUGUAGUCUGCAACUCGACUACAUGAAGCUGGAAUCGCUAGUAAUCGUAGAUCAGCAUGCUACGGUGAAUACGUUCCCGGGUCUUGUACACACCGCCCGUCACACCACGAGAGUUUGUAACACCCGAAGCCGGUGGAGUAACCAUUUGGAGCUAGCCGUCGAAGGUGGGACAAAUGAUCGGGGUGAAGUCGUAACAAGGUAGCCGUAUCGGAAGG